GACGAACGCUGGCGGCGUGCCUAACACAUGCAAGUCGAGCGAGAAAGCCAUUUUCGGAUGGCGAGUAAAGCGGCGGACGGGUGAGUAACACGUGAACAACCUACCCUUGAGUCUGGGAUAACAGCGAGAAAUCGGUGCUAAUACCGGAUAAUCUCUUUUUACCGCAUGGUAGGGGGAGGAAAGGUUUACUGCUCAAGGAUGGGUUCGCGUCCCAUUAGCUAGUUGGUGGGGUAACGGCCUACCAAGGCGACGAUGGGUAGCCGGCCUGAGAGGGUGGACGGCCACACUGGGACUGAGACACGGCCCAGACUCCUACGGGAGGCAGCAGUGGGGAAUUUUGCGCAAUGGGGGAAACCCUGACGCAGCGACGCCGCGUGAGCGAAGAAGGUUUUCGGAUCGUAAAGCUCUGUCACAGGGGACGAUAGUGACGGUACCCUGGGAGGAAGCCCCGGCUAACUACGUG
This 463-nucleotide ribosomal RNA is filed under the name uncultured organism. RNAcentral's name for it is "bacterial SSU rRNA". It matches the Rfam family "Bacterial small subunit ribosomal RNA", at positions 28 to 507 of the family's 1533-position model. The record is from RNAcentral.